This 510-nucleotide ribosomal RNA is filed under the name uncultured bacterium. RNAcentral describes it as "bacterial SSU rRNA". It matches the Rfam family "Bacterial small subunit ribosomal RNA", at positions 59 to 571 of the family's 1533-position model. The record is from RNAcentral.
AAGUCGAGUGCGCGUCUGUAGCAAUACAGAUGGCGCACGGCGCACGGGUGCGUAACACGUGGGUAAUCUGCCCUUCGAAGGGGAAUAACUCGCCGAAAGGCGAGCUAAUUCCGCAUAACAUUCCGAGAACCUUGGUUUUUGGAUUCAAAGGCGUAAGUCGUCGGAGGAGGAGCCCGCGCACGAUUAGCUAGUUGGUAGGGUAACGGCCUACCAAGGCUAUGAUCGUUAGCUGGUCUGAGAGGAUGGCCAGCCACACUGGAACUGAGACACGGUCCAGACUCCUACGGGAGGCAGCAGUGGGGAAUCUUGCACAAUGGGCGAAAGCCUGAUGCAGCGACGCCGCGUGGGGGAUGAAGCUUCUCGGAGUGUAAACCCCUUUCGACCCGGACGAAUGCCCCGCAAGGGGACUGACGGUACGGGUAUAAGAAGCCCCGGCUAACUACGUGCCAGCAGCCGCGGUAAGACGUAGGGGGCCAGCGUUGCUCGGAAUUACUGGGUGUAAAGGGUUCG